GUACAAACUUGAUCACUAACUCUACAUGAUGUUGCAGAAGUGAGAGAAUCCAAGUUUUUUAAAGUAACUGAAGUGAUAGAACUGGAUUAACUUCAGAUUGAGGUUGUCUCUUCUACUGCAGGGUGAAA
Sorex araneus (European shrew) is the source of this 128-nucleotide small nucleolar RNA. The record is from Ensembl. NCBI's taxonomy places the organism in Eukaryota, Metazoa, Chordata, Mammalia, Eulipotyphla, Soricidae.